Long non-coding RNA from Anneissia japonica, 720 nucleotides. RefSeq lists it as uncharacterized. The transcript is spliced from 2 exons. The record is from RefSeq and is a predicted model, not a curated record. NCBI's taxonomy places the organism in Eukaryota, Metazoa, Echinodermata, Crinoidea, Comatulida, Comatulidae.
GCUGAUUGUAAUCGACGUUGUUUUAAUCGUGGAACUUGCAUUGCUGUAGGGGGUUUGGCUACGUGCGAUUGUAGAGGAACUGGCUAUAAAGGCAGGUUUUGUAAGACUGUAGACCCAAUCAAUAAAAGAGAACCAUGUACAUCUUCGUGGAAAAUUAUGUGUUGAUGUCAGGUCUGAAAAUACCGGUAUUUUGUCGUCGAGAAAAAUUGCCAACUGAUACAUAGGGCUGCUAAAGCUCGUAGCAGAGUCACAUUGUAUUUGGAUCUUUUCAUCUUGUGCCAUUAACAUAAGAACCAAUUAUUGUUAUCAUAUUAUAUUUUGUGAAAAGUUCUUAUUCUCAAUAGAUUGAUAUUUUUGUUUAGGUUAUAUUUAUAAACAGAUGCCCACGCCAUAUCCUCGGUGAAAAGUUCUUAUUCUCAAUAGAUUGAUAUUUUUGUUUAGGUUAUAUUUAUAAACAGAUGCCCACGCCAUAUCCUCGGUGUUAUAACCUUUCAAUGAAAACCCAGUAGGCCAUUUGGUAGAUGAGUUAGUGUUGCUAAAAUACUUUUAUUUUAAGUUAUAUUCUUACGACAACAUUUUAGAUCACAUGUUUUAUUUCAAUGUUUUAUGUUUUAUUGCUGAUGGAGUAGGCCUAUAUACUGUCGUGUUAAAAUAUCUUUACUGUAAGUUACAGAACGUACACAAAAUGUGUGAAUAAAGUUUUAUUGGUGAAAAAUGUUA